This 491-nucleotide ribosomal RNA is filed under the name uncultured bacterium. Its description in RNAcentral is "partial 16S ribosomal RNA". It matches the Rfam family "Bacterial small subunit ribosomal RNA", at positions 29 to 506 of the family's 1533-position model. The record is from RNAcentral.
AGUGAACGCUGGCGGUAGGCCUAACACAUGCAAGUCGAACGGCAGCACAGUAAGAGCUUGCUCUUACGGGUGGCGAGUGGCGGACGGGUGAGGAAUACAUCGGAAUCUACUUUUUCGUGGGGGAUAACGUAGGGAAACUUACGCUAAUACCGCAUACGACCUACGGGUGAAAGCAGGGGAUCUUCGGACCUUGCGCGAUUGAAUGAGCCGAUGUCGGAUUAGCUAGUUGGCGGGGUAAAGGCCCACCAAGGCGACGAUCCGUAGCUGGUCUGAGAGGAUGAUCAGCCAAAAUGGAACUGAGACACGGCCCAGACUCCUAGGGGAGGCAGCGGUGGGGAAUAUUGGAAAAUGGGCGAAAGCCUGAUCCAGCCAACCCGGGUGGGUGAAGAAGGCCUUGGGGUUGUAAAGCCCUUUUGUGGGGAAAAAAAAGCAGCAGGUUAAUACCCCGCUGUUCUGACGGUACCAAAAGAAUAAGCACCGGCUAACUUCGU